Molecule: unclassified non-coding RNA, 231 nt
Filed under: uncultured Membranomyces
Lineage: Eukaryota; Fungi; Basidiomycota; Agaricomycetes; Cantharellales; Hydnaceae
Description: sequence contains ITS2
Source: RNAcentral
AAUUCUCAAACUGAGAUGCUUUUUUGUUUCUCUGCUUGGUGUUGGGCUUUGCAGUCCCCUUUGAUUGGGAUGGCUGGCCUCAAAAGCAUUAGCUGGCUUUUCAUGUGGCAUUGGUUCUACUCAGCGUGAUAAUGAUCUGACCGCCGAGGACAUCUUUCGAGAUGGCCAAUUCUCAUUUGGGCUGCUUCUAAUCUUGGUCGAGCAGAUUCUGAAUCUGUUCCACUUUUCAAC